Molecule: ribosomal RNA, 599 nt
Filed under: Saccharomyces cerevisiae (brewer's yeast)
Lineage: Eukaryota; Fungi; Ascomycota; Saccharomycetes; Saccharomycetales; Saccharomycetaceae
Description: partial large subunit ribosomal RNA
Rfam family: Eukaryotic large subunit ribosomal RNA
Source: RNAcentral
CCAAAAACGGAGGAAAAGAAACCAACCGGGAUUGCCUUAGUAACGGCGAGUGAAGCGGCAAAAGCUCAAAUUUGAAAUCUGGUACCUUCGGUGCCCGAGUUGUAAUUUGGAGAGGGCAACUUUGGGGCCGUUCCUUGUCUAUGUUCCUUGGAACAGGACGUCAUAGAGGGUGAGAAUCCCGUGUGGCGAGGAGUGCGGUUCUUUGUAAAGUGCCUUCGAAGAGUCGAGUUGUUUGGGAAUGCAGCUCUAAGUGGGUGGUAAAUUCCAUCUAAAGCUAAAUAUUGGCGAGAGACCGAUAGCGAACAAGUACAGUGAUGGAAAGAUGAAAAGAACUUUGAAAAGAGAGUGAAAAAGUACGUGAAAUUGUUGAAAGGGAAGGGCAUUUGAUCAGACAUGGUGUUUUGUGCCCUCUGCUCCUUGUGGGUAGGGGAAUCUCGCAUUUCACUGGGCCAGCAUCAGUUUUGGUGGCAGGAUAAAUCCAUAGGAAUGUAGCUUGCCUCGGUAAGUAUUAUAGCCUGUGGGAAUACUGCCAGCUGGGACUGAGGACUGCGACGUAAGUCAAGGAUGCUGGCAUAAUGGUUAUAUGCCGCCCGUCUUAA